GCUGUUAAAGGAAGCUUUAUGGAAUGGAUACACGUGUAUCUCUUAUGAGUUAUGACCAAACUCAAGAACAAUUGUUGAUUUCCAUGUCUUGUUUUCCUUCUUCCACUCAUAUUUCAAAUCCUUUAAUUCUUUUCUUUGCGUUUUCUUUUAUACUGAUAUUGAAGAAGGAAGAUCAAACAGAAGUGCUUUAUUUUAUACAUCAGAGAGAAAUAUUUAUAUAUAUAUAUAUAUAUACAUAUUUUACAUUGAGAAGAUUGGUACCGCUGAGCCCAAUUUCGAGGAAUUCUUUGAGGAGGAGAAGUGGUUUCAUAAUUCCUUUUACUUAUAUAAAAUUCUAAUAGGUUUGCUAAGGAGAAUUUCGGUGUGAAGUUUUGUGGAGAAAGUGUUGGUGUCAAAAUAGCAAUAUAUGAAGAGGUACGUUCAAGGAUUUGAAAAUUCUUUCUGUUCAUUGGGCUCUCCCUUCACCUCAUUGGAUUAAAAUUAAUUUUGAUGGUGCUAUAGUGGUGGUCCUGGAAUUGUGGGUUGCGGUGGUAUCUUUCAAACCAGUAGGAGUUUUGUUAAAGGUUACUUUGCUCGGUUUCCUUUUGAAGCUGAACUUACGGGUAUCGAAGAUGGUUAAUUAAGAAAUAUUCACGGGAUGGCUUGAAUGUGAUCCACUGCUUUGGUUAAUGUUUUUCAAUCUAUUUUUACUUUAGUGCCAUGGAAGUGGAAAGCCCAUUGGUCUCAUUGUAACGAUUACAUUUUGAAAAUUAACUUUCAAGUUUCACACAUUUAUAGGGAGGGUAAUCAAGUGGCUAACACUCUUCCAAGUAUGCUCUUGUUCAUGAGAAUUUAUAUUGGUAGUGACAUUUUCCAAAUCUCUACUGGUAUCUUUUACACUUUUGUUAUUUUCCCUUCUCGGGUUUUUCUUCAAUGAGGCCGUUUUGGUGAUUUAUUUUGUAUAUUUUAUCUUUAUAGUUCUUUCUGGGCAUUUAAAUGGCCUUUCAA
Molecule: long non-coding RNA, 987 nt
Organism: Ziziphus jujuba (common jujube)
Lineage: Eukaryota; Viridiplantae; Streptophyta; Magnoliopsida; Rosales; Rhamnaceae
Exons: 4
Source: RefSeq, a predicted model, not a curated record